GGAAAAUAUUUGCAGGGCAGGACUAGAAAUGCAGACAUAGAGAACAGAGUUGUGGACACAGUGGGUGAAGCAGAGGGUGGGACGAGUUGAGAGAAUAGUAUUGAAAUAUGUACAUUCAGUUCAGUUCAGUCUCUCAGUCGUGUCCGACUCUUCGCGACCCCAUGAAUCGCAGCACGCCAGGCCUCCCUGUCCAUCACCAACUCCCGGAGUUCACCCAGACUCACGUCCAUCAUUCCAUAUGCAAAACAGACAGGGGGAAGUAGCUGUGUAACACAAGAAGCUCAACCGAGUGCUCUGUGACAACCUAGAGGGGUGGGAUGGGGUGGGGAGUGGAAGACAGGAGACGUAUGUGUAUUUAUGGCUGAUUCACGUUGUUGUGUGGCAGAAACCAACACAACAUUGUAAAGCAAUUAUCCUCCAGUUAAAAAAAAAUGCAUAGAGAAAAAAAUCCAGGUUAUUUCUCCUAUAAUUGUUCAAGCUUGUGUAACAGUUUGGAACAUUAUUAGUAGAUAAUCCCCCUCUCCCUUUCUCUCUCUAGAUGGAAGGAAAGUUUGGUACCAAGUGAUGUUCAAUGCCCCAGCUGGAAACAUUUACCUUGUUUAGAUCCAACUUCAGGAAAGUUUGGGAUGCUGUCUCUGCACGCCGUGUCUUUGAUCUCAGUUCUCAAGUGUGCCCACGGAAGCAGGCCUGAGGGAUGUGACCCCACCACAGAAUACCUGGAGUACGGAAAGAUUCCCAUUUAGAGACAUGCAUCAUUUCUCAUCAUAGAAGCUCAUGAAACCCAUCUUUUGCUGUCUGACAAGGUGCCUAAGCAUUGUUCCUGGGGAGACCAGAAGCAAGACAUGGUCCUUGGCUGUUUAUUUCUACACCUCUCUGUCGCCCUCCCCUGGAUGCACUCUGAGUAUCUUGAGGGCAGAGUGCCUUUCAGAUCAUGUUUUAAAACCUUCCCCGUCUGGCGUUGGGAACGCAGCCGCGGCUUGGUGGUGGAUAGCAAGAGGCAAAGCUGUACUCUCAUUGGAAACAGAAAUUAAGCUUGUCAUUAGAUGCCGGGCCACAGGAGUUGACUGAACAGGGCAGCAGAAGCCAAAAGAGAGGAUCCCAUCUGCUCAAGGCCAAGUGAGCAAAAGGCAGAGUUGAGAUUGGAACUCAAGUUCAUUGUCAAGAUUCUUCUGCUCUGUCAUGCCAUCUCCACCGAACCUGAUGAAGUAAAAGAGAUUCCACUUCAUCUUUUUCCUUUUGUCAGGUCUCAAGUUGGUUUUGUUUGCAAGCCGUCAUUUCUUAUGUGACUCAGAGAUGAGAAGACAUCAAGAAGCUUUUAAGAAGAAUAGUUUGCAAUAUAUAUCUAACUACAAUCCAAGAAAAUCAGUAUUAGACCACUGGAAAAACACCUGGACCCACAAGCCUCCAAUAUACUCAUUAGAAUUAACUUUUUAGUGUGGGAAAACUGACAUGAUUAACUCUGUGCUAAAUGUAAAUCCGAGAACCUGCUAGAUAUCCUGGGACAUAUUUGGAAUUCAUUAUAAACCCCACAAAACUCUAGCCAAUAAUCUAGGCAUUCUGCUCUGAGAUCAAGCACAUGAAAUAGAAAACUUCUGACACUUGGUAGGAUUGUGCAUACAAAAAAUAGGGAAGUAGGGGCUUCCCUGGUGGUCCACUGGUUAAGACCCCGUGCUUCCAAUGCAGAGGGUGUGUGUUUGAUGCCUGGUUUGGGAACUAGAUCCCAUAUGCCAAGCAGCACAGUCAAAAAUAAAUAAAGUCCAGAUUCAAUCAAUUAAAAAAAAAAAAAAGAAAGCAGUGUAGAAAAUAGGGAAGUGUAAAUCCUUGGCAGAGAUGUUAAUGCGGAUAUGACAAUGAAAGGUAUUAAAAGCAAAAGUGGCUUUAAAAGCAACCAGCUAGACAUCAGAUAGAACUGGUUGGGUAUCGCCAUUUGGUAACCACUCUGGAUGUCAUGGUUCUAGCCGUCGAACCAGGGCAUGGCCCAACAUGCUGAAAUGCUGUGGCUGUUCUUUCUACUAACCUACAUGUGUGCACCAAUUGAGUGAGGUUUACAAAUGCAUAAAGCCUUAGAUCUUUAUAAUAGGUUGGCACUGGUUACCCUCAUUUUACAGAUGAGGAAAUUACAUUUCGUUGACCCCUUAGCCUAAGGAAUCCAGUUAAACAAAGCACAGUUGAGUUGGAGACAAAGGGAGAAAAGUUUUUAAGGAAAG
Long non-coding RNA from Bos grunniens (domestic yak), 2207 nucleotides. Lineage: Eukaryota; Metazoa; Chordata; Mammalia; Artiodactyla; Bovidae. The record is from Ensembl.